This 147-nucleotide long non-coding RNA is filed under the name Mustela putorius furo (domestic ferret). RNAcentral's name for it is "lncRNA (ENSMPUG00000028567.1)". Lineage: Eukaryota; Metazoa; Chordata; Mammalia; Carnivora; Mustelidae. The record is from RNAcentral.
CUGUUCCGGGCCGUCCAUUCAAGGCAGGAGUGCCCCGAAUAAAGUCUGGCUUGCUGCUCUUUGAUGAACACCGGCAGACUGGUAAUGUGACAUCUCCAUUGCCUAGAUGUAGGCAAAAAAAAUCCGUGUUUUAGAGCCUGAUGGUCC